GGUUAAGCGACUAAGCGUACACGGUGGAUGCCCUGGCAGUCAGAGGCGAUGAAGGACGUGCUAAUCUGCGAUAAGCGUCGGUAAGGUGAUAUGAACCGUUAUAACCGGCGAUUUCCGAAUGGGGAAACCCAGUGUGAUUCGUCACACUAUCAUUAACUGAAUCCAUAGGUUAAUGAGGCGAACCGGGGGAACUGAAACAUCUAAGUACCCCGAGGAAAAGAAAUCAACCGAGAUUCCCCCAGUAGCGGCGAGCGAACGGGGAGCAGCCCAGAGCCUGAAUCAGUGUGUGUGUUAGUGGAAGCGUCUGGAAAGGCGCGCGAUACAGGGUGACAGCCCCGUACACAAAAAUGCACAUACUGUGAGCUCGAUGAGUAGGGCGGGACACGUGGUAUCCUGUCUGAAUAUGGGGGGACCAUCCUCCAAGGCUAAAUACUCCUGACUGACCGAUAGUGAACCAGUACCGUGAGGGAAAGGCGAAAAGAACCCCGGCGAGGGGAGUGAAAAAGAACCUGAAACCGUGUACGUACAAGCAGUGGGAGCACAGAGCAAUCUGUGUGACUGCGUACCUUUUGUAUAAUGGGUCAGCGACUUAUAUUCUGUAGCAAGGUUAACCGAAUAGGGGAGCCGAAGGGAAACCGAGUCUUAACUGGGCGUUAAGUUGCAGGGUAUAGACCCGAAACCCGGUGAUCUAGCCAUGGGCAGGUUGAAGGUUGGGUAACACUAACUGGAGGACCGAACCGACUAAUGUUGAAAAAUUAGCGGAUGACUUGUGGCUGGGGGUGAAAGGCCAAUCAAACCGGGAGAUAGCUGGUUCUCCCCGAAAGCUAUUUAGGUAGCGCCUCGUGAAUUCAUCUCCGGGGGUAGAGCACUGUUUCGGCAAGGGGGUCAUCCCGACUUACCAACCCGAUGCAAACUGCGAAUACCGGAGAAUGUUAUCACGGGAGACACACGGCGGGUGCUAACGUCCGUCGUGAAGAGGGAAACAACCCAGACCGCCAGCUAAGGUCCCAAAGUCAUGGUUAAGUGGGAAACGAUGUGGGAAGGCCCAGACAGCCAGGAUGUUGGCUUAGAAGCAGCCAUCAUUUAAAGAAAGCGUAAUAGCUCACUGGUCGAGUCGGCCUGCGCGGAAGAUGUAACGGGGCUAAACCAUGCACCGAAGCUGCGGCAGCGACGCUGAUGCGUUGUUGGGUAGGGGAGCGUUCUGUAAGCCUGCGAAGGUGUGCUGUGAGGCAUGCUGGAGGUAUCAGAAGUGCGAAUGCUGACAUAAGUAACGAUAAAGCGGGUGAAAAGCCCGCUCGCCGGAAGACCAAGGGUUCCUGUCCAACGUUAAUCGGGGCAGGGUGAGUCGACCCCUAAGGCGAGGCCGAAAGGCGUAGUCGAUGGGAAACAGGUUAAUAUUCCUGUACUUGGUGUUACUGCGAAGGGGGGACGGAGAAGGCUAUGUUGGCCGGGCGACGGUUGUCCCGGUUUAAGCGUGUAGGCUGGUUUUCCAGGCAAAUCCGGAAAAUCAAGGCUGAGGCGUGAUGACGAGGCACUACGGUGCUGAAGCAACAAAUGCCCUGCUUCCAGGAAAAGCCUCUAAGCAUCAGGUAACAUCAAAUCGUACCCCAAACCGACACAGGUGGUCAGGUAGAGAAUACCAAGGCGCUUGAGAGAACUCGGGUGAAGGAACUAGGCAAAAUGGUGCCGUAACUUCGGGAGAAGGCACGCUGAUAUGUAGGUGAAGUCCCUCGCGGAUGGAGCUGAAAUCAGUCGAAGAUACCAGCUGGCUGCAACUGUUUAUUAAAAACACAGCACUGUGCAAACACGAAAGUGGACGUAUACGGUGUGACGCCUGCCCGGUGCCGGAAGGUUAAUUGAUGGGGUUAGCGCAAGCGAAGCUCUUGAUCGAAGCCCCGGUAAACGGCGGCCGUAACUAUAACGGUCCUAAGGUAGCGAAAUUCCUUGUCGGGUAAGUUCCGACCUGCACGAAUGGCGUAAUGAUGGCCAGGCUGUCUCCACCCGAGACUCAGUGAAAUUGAACUCGCUGUGAAGAUGCAGUGUACCCGCGGCAAGACGGAAAGACCCCGUGAACCUUUACUAUAGCUUGACACUGAACAUUGAGCCUUGAUGUGUAGGAUAGGUGGGAGGCUUUGAAGUGUGGACGCCAGUCUGCAUGGAGCCGACCUUGAAAUACCACCCUUUAAUGUUUGAUGUUCUAACGUUGACCCGUAAUCCGGGUUGCGGACAGUGUCUGGUGGGUAGUUUGACUGGGGCGGUCUCCUCCUAAAGAGUAACGGAGGAGCACGAAGGUUGGCUAAUCCUGGUCGGACAUCAGGAGGUUAGUGCAAUGGCAUAAGCCAGCUUGACUGCGAGCGUGACGGCGCGAGCAGGUGCGAAAGCAGGUCAUAGUGAUCCGGUGGUUCUGAAUGGAAGGGCCAUCGCUCAACGGAUAAAAGGUACUCCGGGGAUAACAGGCUGAUACCGCCCAAGAGUUCAUAUCGACGGCGGUGUUUGGCACCUCGAUGUCGGCUCAUCACAUCCUGGGGCUGAAGUAGGUCCCAAGGGUAUGGCUGUUCGCCAUUUAAAGUGGUACGCGAGCUGGGUUUAGAACGUCGUGAGACAGUUCGGUCCCUAUCUGCCGUGGGCGCUGGAGAACUGAGGGGGGCUGCUCCUAGUACGAGAGGACCGGAGUGGACGCAUCACUGGUGUUCGGGUUGUCAUGCCAAUGGCACUGCCCGGUAGCUAAAUGCGGAAGAGAUAAGUGCUGAAAGCAUCUAAGCACGAAACUUGCCCCGAGAUGAGUUCUCCCUGACUCCUUGAGAGUCCUGAAGGAACGUUGAAGACGACGACGUUGAUAGGCCGGAUGUGUAAGCGCAGCGAUGCGUUGAGCUAACCGGUACUAAUGAACCGUGAGGCUUAACCUU
Molecule: ribosomal RNA, 2906 nt
Filed under: Escherichia coli
Lineage: Bacteria; Pseudomonadati; Pseudomonadota; Gammaproteobacteria; Enterobacterales; Enterobacteriaceae
Description: 23S ribosomal RNA
Rfam family: Bacterial large subunit ribosomal RNA
Source: RNAcentral